GCAACAUCGCAACAUCCAGUGAUCCGCUUUCGAAAAACUCGAGUGCAUAGUACGCGUACGGAUUAAGCUCAGCGCGUACUACCGAAGCUCCAGCGCGGAAAUAGCUCGGUUUAUCAUACUCCAUAAAUGUGAAUUGAACACAGGACCGGACUCGACGCCGCUGGAGAAUUCCAGACAUUUUUUUAACGUUUUUUGCCACUUUGAUAAAAUUUCUCAAUACUUUGCAUUUUUUGCAAAAAAACUCACAGGAAACGUCUCUCCUUGCCAGACAAGAUGAAGACGACUAAAAUAUAUUUCAUAACCAUCCCAUUUCAUGCGCAAGUGCACGUAAUAAACAUCUGAAAUAUGAAAGACUUAUUAAUAAAACAAACGUAAUGCGAUUUAAAGGCGAGACACUCGAAACUUUGGAGAAAACAAAAGGAAAUUGUAAACAAUGAUUCAACUUCGUAAGAAACAACCAAAUAAUUUUGAUCCCGUCACGAUGCCAAAACGGUAUGCAAACAAAAUUAAAAGGGACAUUAGUCGAAAGCGUAAAUUUGUAAAUAAAUGCAGAAUUUUAACAACGAAGAAUUUUUACAAGACAGCCAAUUAAUCACAUGCGUCGCCAAAAAACAAAAAAUAGAACGUAUUCGUCACGUUUUGAACAAUUAGAAACAAGUAUAUGAGGCUCUGUCCCUCAGUGUUGUGCUCAAUCUCGUCUGUAGCGCGUACGAGGUAACAACCAUGAACUCCGCGGAAGGAACCAACCUGGUGGCCACCUACUGCAUCCUGCUGCUGCUGCUGGUGUCGCUAUGGCUCAUGUAUUCUGCAUUUUAAGGACAAAAUAAGCUGUCCACAAACAACUUAAACUUGAGACCAAUCCAAGAUGGCGGUCAACAUACGCUAUAAUCUUAUAUUUAGGAAACCGUAAUCUUAGUAAUAAGUUAAUCGUAAGUUAAGCAAUGUACACCCAAGCAUUUAAGUAACUUAAGACCACGGAACGAGACUAAGGGAGGUCGCACAGAAUGACAAACUCGAAACACCAGAGAGUGUGAACAGUGCUGGGCAUUCCAAUAUAAGUAAAGUCUAAAGUAAAAUAUAUCAAAGUGAAAGACAGCAUAUUAGAUGGCAAAUAUUUAAUACCAGAGCAAUGUUACUGAGUUAGCUAAUUAUUGUUGAUGUUCGGUACAAAUCAUCUUGUUACGGAUUUUAUCGUUGUUAUGUUAUGAACUAAGAGAGUUUUGUAAUAAAGGCUUUUUUAGAAUAA
Spodoptera frugiperda (fall armyworm) is the source of this 1246-nucleotide long non-coding RNA. RefSeq lists it as uncharacterized. The record is from RefSeq and is a predicted model, not a curated record. NCBI's taxonomy places the organism in Eukaryota, Metazoa, Arthropoda, Insecta, Lepidoptera, Noctuidae. The transcript has 2 exons.